ACACGACGUAACUCGGCUCAUAACCGUAGCUGUCGGAGCAGUGUGCUCACGUGAUAGAGCGGCUGUGUGUAUUUGUAGCCUCCUAGCAAACCAGCAUUUCAUCUCCGAGGAAGUUAUCCCAGAGAGAAGUAAAGCAAGUGUGCUGCACUUGGUGGACCAUUGAAGCCCAAAAAGAAUAAGACCGGUUUCAGCGAUCCAGCUCCAGAAGUAACUCCAGCUGCUGGAACUUCAAAGGUUCAGAGUGCACCCGUCCAGACCGGGAGAAUUGAAAUCAAAUCCGUCUCAGCCAUCAAUAAAAACAUCGCUCGGGUUAAGGUGGAGGUGAAGAAGCAGCAGGAGUUCUACGUGUCAACUCAAAAACUGGCAGAGGUCCUCGGCUAUAACAUGGAGGACGGGGUUGAAGGCAGAAUCAGUCGUGCCAUGCCAAUCUCAGCCGAGGCUAAAAUGCGAGAGGAUCAGAUUGUAGAGAUUAAAAAAGUAUUUUAAGAAGAACUCAUUUGUACAUUU
This is a long non-coding RNA of Pelmatolapia mariae (spotted tilapia), 507 nucleotides long. RefSeq lists it as uncharacterized. NCBI's taxonomy places the organism in Eukaryota, Metazoa, Chordata, Actinopteri, Cichliformes, Cichlidae. The record is from RefSeq and is a predicted model, not a curated record. The transcript is spliced from 3 exons.